AUUGAACGCUGGCGGCAUGCUUUACACAUGCAAGUCGAACGGCAGCGCGGGCUUCGGCCUGGCGGCGAGUGGCGAACGGGUGAGUAAUACAUCGGAACGUGCCCAGUAGUGGGGGAUAGCUCGGCGAAAGCCGGAUUAAUACCGCAUACGACCUGAGGGUGAAAGCGGGGGAUCUUCGGACCUCGCGCUAUUGGAGCGGCCGAUGGCAGAUUAGCUAGUUGGUGGGGUAAAGGCCUACCAAGGCGACGAUCUGUAGCUGGUCUGAGAGGACGACCAGCCACACUGGGACUGAGACACGGCCCAGACUCCUACGGGAGGCAGCAGUGGGGAAUUUUGGACAAUGGGCGAAAGCCUGAUCCAGCAAUGCCGCGUGUGUGAUGAAGGCCUUCGGGUUGUAAAGCACUUUUGGCGGGAACGAAAAGGACUGUGCCAAUACCACGGUUCGACGACGGUACCCGCAGAAUAAGCACCGGCUAACUACGUG
This 484-nucleotide ribosomal RNA is filed under the name uncultured bacterium. RNAcentral describes it as "partial 16S ribosomal RNA". It matches the Rfam family "Bacterial small subunit ribosomal RNA", at positions 29 to 507 of the family's 1533-position model. The record is from RNAcentral.